AGCUCUGUAGUUCAAUUGGAUAGAAUACUCCUCUUAUAAAGGAUUGGUUGCGGGUUCGAAUCCCGCCGGGG
Molecule: transfer RNA, 71 nt
Filed under: Flavobacterium sp. W4I14
Lineage: Bacteria; Pseudomonadati; Bacteroidota; Flavobacteriia; Flavobacteriales; Flavobacteriaceae
Description: tRNA-Ile
Rfam family: tRNA
About the family: Transfer RNA (tRNA) molecules are approximately 80 nucleotides in length. Their secondary structure includes four short double-helical elements and three loops (D, anti-codon, and T loops).
Source: RNAcentral